GACGAACGCUGGCGGCGUGCUUAACACAUGCAAGUCGAACGGAAAGGCCCUGCUUUUGUGGGGUGCUCGAGUGGCGAACGGGUGAGUAACACGUGAGUAACCUGCCCUUGACUUUGGGAUAACUUCAGGUAACUGGGGCUAAUACCGGAUAGGAGCUCCUGCUGCAUGGUGGGGGUUGGAAAGUUUCGGCGGUUGGGGAUGGACUCGCGGCUUAUCAGCUUGUUGGUGGGGUAGUGGCUUACCAAGGCUUUGACGGGUAGCCGGCCUGAGAGGGUGACCGGCCACAUUGGGACUGAGAUACGGCCCAGACUCCUACGGGAGGCAGCAGGGGGGAAUAUUGCACAAUGGGCGGAAGCCUGAUGCAGCAACGCCGCGUGCGGGAUGACGGCCUUCGGGUUGUAAACCGCUUUCGCCUGUGACGAAGCGUGAGUGACGGUAAUGGGUAAAGAAGCACCGGCUAACUACGUG
RNAcentral lists this ribosomal RNA (468 nucleotides) under uncultured bacterium. RNAcentral's name for it is "partial 16S ribosomal RNA". It matches the Rfam family "Bacterial small subunit ribosomal RNA", at positions 28 to 507 of the family's 1533-position model. The record is from RNAcentral.